RNAcentral lists this ribosomal RNA (468 nucleotides) under uncultured bacterium. RNAcentral describes it as "partial 16S ribosomal RNA". It matches the Rfam family "Bacterial small subunit ribosomal RNA", at positions 28 to 507 of the family's 1533-position model. The record is from RNAcentral.
GACGAACGCUGGCGGCGUGCUUAACACAUGCAAGUCGAACGGAAAGGCCCUGCUUUUGUGGGGUGCUCGAGUGGCGAACGGGUGAGUAACACGUGAGUAACCUGCCCUUGACUUUGGGAUAACUUCAGGAAACUGGGGCUAAUACCGGAUAGGAGCUCCUGCUGCAUGGUGGGGGUUGGAAAGUUUCGGCGGUUGGGGAUGGACUCGCGGCUUAUCAGCUUGUUGGUGGGGUAGUGGCUUACCAAGGCUUUGACGGGUAGCCGGCCUGAGAGGGUGACCGGCCACACUGGGACUGAGAGACGGCCCAGACUCCUACGGGAGGCAGCAGUGGGGAAUAUUGCACAAUGGGCGGAAGCCUGAUGCAGCAACGCCGCGUGCGGGAUGACGGCCUUCGGGGUGUAAACCGCUUUCGCCUGUGACGAAGCGUGAGUGACGGUAAUGGGUAAAGAAGCACCGGCUAACUACGUG